ACCAGCUUAGAGAAUCCAAUGGUGAAAAGUGGAAAAACUUCCACAUUCAGUGAUAGUCACUGGCCAAGCAGACCACAUAGGAUAAAGCUGUAAGGAAUUUCAGUCUUCCUUCUUGAUGGAAAAGAGAUCACAAAAACAACAAAACAUUCACAUCAGAGAAUCAAGAUAACCUUGAUUUCCAUCAUUCCCAUCAAGCAUCCAAUAAAAUUAUUUAAUAAAGAUUCAGUGAGCCUCAACUAUGUGGAAAACUUGAUGAAGUGGGAAGAAGGAUAUGAGGCAAAAUCAUCUGAUGUUUGCUGGCAUUAUCGGAAAUGUUAACUCAGUGCCAGCAUACCAGCAUUCCUGGCAAUACAAAAAUCAUUCCCAGAAGAACUUCCUGGACUCCUAAUCAAACCCUGGCACUUCAUACCACCAGGCCAACAAAAGAGAUCUACUCAAAGGUUCCAGUGAUGCAGAGAACACAGACACACUCAGUUCCAGUAUAAAAUUAAAGAGCUGAACCGAAAGAGGAGGGCACAUGAAGGACAACUAUAAUCUAGGGAACCAUACUCUUGAAAACAGAGAGCACUUCUUGUGACUCACAUUUCCUCCCAAAAGCCAUGAUUUACUCUCAUGUAAGUCAGGUCCUAUUUGGUUUUAGUAACUUAAUACCACAGAGCUAUCGAUUGUCUAUUGUGUUACUUGUGGAUAUCAAGCUAAGAAUCUUCUCCGAAACCAGUGCUGCAGAAGGAAGGGAAAAUAAUGCACAAAUCUUUA
Odocoileus virginianus texanus is the source of this 756-nucleotide long non-coding RNA. RefSeq lists it as uncharacterized. NCBI's taxonomy places the organism in Eukaryota, Metazoa, Chordata, Mammalia, Artiodactyla, Cervidae. The record is from RefSeq and is a predicted model, not a curated record.